RNAcentral lists this small RNA (106 nucleotides) under Arabidopsis thaliana (thale cress). Its description in RNAcentral is "ATSL257110". The record is from RNAcentral. Lineage: Eukaryota; Viridiplantae; Streptophyta; Magnoliopsida; Brassicales; Brassicaceae.
UAUUCCCUUAUGGAGUAUAUACUAGAUUUUAACCCGCGGUAUACCGCGGGACGAUUUAUUUUUUUAAAGUAAUAUAUAUUAAAACUUGCAAAUUUUAUUUUAUAAA